GACGAACGCUGGCGGCGUGCUUAACACAUGCAAGUCGAACGGAAAGGCCCUGCUUUUGUGGGGUGCUCGAGUGGCGAACGGGUGAGUAACACGUGAGUAACCUGCCCUUGACUUUGGGAUAACUUCAGGAAACUGGGGCUAAUACCGGAUAGGAGCUCCUGCUGCAUGGUGGGCGUUGGAAAGUUUCGGCGGUUGGGGAUCGACUCGCGGCUUAUCAGCUUGUUGGUGAGGUAGUGGCUUACCAAGGCUUUGACGGGUAGCCGGCCUGAGAGGGGGACCGGCCACAUGGGGACUGAGAUACGGCCCAGACUCGUACGGGAGGCAGAAGUGGGGAAUAUUGCAGAAUGGGCGGAAGCCUGAUGCAGCAGCGCCGCGUGCGGGAUGACGGCCUUCGGGUUGUAAACCGCUUUCGCCUGUGACGAAGCGUGAGUGACGGUAAUGGGUAAAGAAGCACCGGCUAACUACGUG
Molecule: ribosomal RNA, 468 nt
Filed under: uncultured bacterium
Lineage: Bacteria
Description: partial 16S ribosomal RNA
Rfam family: Bacterial small subunit ribosomal RNA
Source: RNAcentral